Molecule: non-coding RNA, 905 nt
Organism: Callithrix jacchus (white-tufted-ear marmoset)
Lineage: Eukaryota; Metazoa; Chordata; Mammalia; Primates; Cebidae
Source: RefSeq, a predicted model, not a curated record
GACCUGGAGGAGGAGCUGCUGGGGAGUCUCCACGUGUUGUCAGAGACCCCUCCUCUUGGUCAGCUCCCUGUGACCCCUGUUUCUCAGACUGGGAGGGAAAUAAGGGCACACAAUUGUGACCAUGGAGGUGGCGCAAGGCUGCUAGGAGGAACGGAGUGUCUGCUACAGAACUCAGGGUUUCUUUCAUUUACUUUUUUUUUUUUUGAGACAGGGUCUUGCUCUAUCACCUAGUCUGGAGUGCAGUGGUGGGAUCUCUCCUACCUGCAAACUUUGCCUCCCUGGAUCAAGUGAUUCUCCUACCUCAGCCUCCCAAGUAGCUGGGAUUACAGAGUUUUGCUCUUGUCACCCAGGCUGAAGUGCAAUGGCACUCGGCUCAGUGCAACCUCUGCCUCCCAGAUUCAAGCAAUUCUCCUGCCUCAGUCUCCACAGUAGCUGGAACUACAGGUAUGUGCCACACCCAGCUAAUUUUUGUAUUUUUUAGUAGAGACAGGGUAUUACCAUGUGGCCAGGAUGUUCUCAAUCUCCUGAUCUUGUGGUCCAUCCACGUUGACCUCCCAAAGUGCUGGCAUUACAGGCGUGAGCAACCACACCCGGCCAAAUUUUCUCUGUUUGUCUUUAGAGAUGAGCUCUUGCUCUGUCACCUAGGCUGGAGUGCAGUGGCUCAGUAAUAGUUCACUGCAGCCUUAAACUCCUGGACUCAAAUGAUCUUCCCACCUCAGCUUUCUGAGUAGGGAACAUGACAUCCUCUUCCUAGGUUACACCCACCUGCAGAGGGCCCAGCCCCAUCACUGGAGCCACUGGAUUCUGAGGUGAGCUGGGUGAGUUGCUGGGGCUGUACUGGAUGGGAGGACCCUGGCUGUCCUGACCCUCCUGCCCCUGGCUUUCCACAAUGGUGCCAUGGUGCU